RNAcentral lists this ribosomal RNA (253 nucleotides) under uncultured bacterium. RNAcentral describes it as "partial 16S ribosomal RNA". It matches the Rfam family "Bacterial small subunit ribosomal RNA", at positions 524 to 776 of the family's 1533-position model. The record is from RNAcentral.
UACGUAGGGGGCAAGCGUUGUCCGGAUUUACUGGGUGUAAAGGGUGCUCAGGCGGUCUUGUAAGUCAGAGGUGAAAUCUCAAGGCUUAACCUUGAAACUGCCUUUGAUACCGCUGGGCUUGAGUACGGAAGAGGCGGAUGGAAUUCCUGGUGUAGCAGUGAAAUGCGUAGAUAUCAGGAGGAACACCGGUGGCGAAGGCGGUCCGCUGGUCCGUUACUGACGCUAAAGCACGAAAGCGUGGGGAGCAAACAGG